Molecule: ribosomal RNA, 466 nt
Filed under: uncultured bacterium
Lineage: Bacteria
Description: partial 16S ribosomal RNA
Rfam family: Bacterial small subunit ribosomal RNA
Source: RNAcentral
GACGAACGCUGGCGGCGUGCUUAACACAUGCAAGUCGAACGGAAAGGCCCUGCUUUUGUGGGGUGCUCGAGUGGCGAACGGGUGAGUAACACGUGAGUAACCUGCCCUUGACUUUGGGAUAACUUCAGGAAACUGGGGCUAAUACCGGAUAGGAGCUCCUGCUGCAUGGUGGGGGUUGGAAAGUUUCGGCGGUUGGGGAUGGACUCGCGGCUUAUCAGCUUGUUGGUGGGGUAGUGCUUACCAAGGCUUUGACGGGUAGCCGGCCUGAGAGGGUGACCGGCCACAUUGGGACUGAGAUACGGCCCAGACUCCUACGGGAGGCAGCAGUGGGGAAUAUUGCACAAUGGGCGGAAGCCUGAUGCAGCAACGCCGCGUGCGGGAUGACGGCCUUCGGGUUGUAAACCGCUUUCGCCUGUGACGAAGCGUGAGUGACGGUAUGGGUAAAGAAGCACCGGCUAACUACGUG